UACACUCCUACGGGAGGCAGCAGUGGGGAAUUUUGGACAAUGGGCGAAAGCCUGAUCCAGCAAUGCCGCGUGAGUGAAGAAGGCCUUCGGGUUGUAAAGCUCUUUUGUCAGGGAAGAAACGGUGAGAGCUAAUAUCUUUUGCUAAUGACGGUACCUGAAGAAUAAGCACCGGCUAACUACGUGCCAGCAGCCGCGGUAAUACGUAGGGUGCAAGCGUUAAUCGGAAUUACUGGGCGUAAAGCGUGCGCAGGCGGUUUUGUAAGUCUGAUGUGAAAUCCCCGGGCUCAACCUGGGAAUUGCAUUGGAGACUGCAAGGCUAGAAUCUGGCAGAGGGGGGUAGAAUUCCACGUGUAGCAGUGAAAUGCGUAGAUAUGUGGAGGAACACCGAUGGCGAAGGCAGCCCCCUGGGUCAAGAUUGACGCUCAUGCACGAAAGCGUGGGGAGCAAACAGGAUUAGAUACCCUUGUAGUCCCAUG
Molecule: ribosomal RNA, 476 nt
Filed under: uncultured organism
Description: partial 16S ribosomal RNA
Rfam family: Bacterial small subunit ribosomal RNA
Source: RNAcentral